RNAcentral lists this small RNA (149 nucleotides) under human oral metagenome. Its description in RNAcentral is "ydaO/yuaA leader". It matches the Rfam family "c-di-AMP riboswitch aptamer (ydaO/yuaA leader)". From Rfam's summary of the family: This family represents a conserved RNA structure found upstream of the ydaO and yuaA genes in Bacillus subtilis and related genes in other bacteria. The ydaO/yuaA element is thought to act as a genetic "off" switch for the ydaO and yuaA genes in its native state. The record is from RNAcentral.
UAGAAAGCCGAAUCCAGCUCAGGAGCGGGGGAACCAAGUUUCUGGGGUGCAUGUUUUCUUCACGAGGCGGUAAAGGCCUCUCGAGGGAACAAUGGGUAAUCUCUUUGCCCUAACCCGUCAGCUAACCUCGUAGGCGAAUGGAGAGAGGA